This 244-nucleotide ribosomal RNA is filed under the name uncultured bacterium. RNAcentral's name for it is "partial 16S ribosomal RNA". It matches the Rfam family "Bacterial small subunit ribosomal RNA", at positions 796 to 1041 of the family's 1533-position model. The record is from RNAcentral.
CUAGCCGUAAACGAUGGACACUAGGUGUGGGGAGUUAUCGACGCUCUCUGUGCCGAAGCUAACGCAUUAAGUGUCCCGCCUGGGGAGUACGGUCGCAAGACUAAAACUCAAAGGAAUUGACGGGGGCCCGCACAAGCGGCGGAGCAUGUGGCUUAAUUCGACGCAACGCGAAAAACCUUACCAAGGCUUGACAUCAUAUUGACAAGUACAGAAAUGUACCUCCUUCGGGCAAUAUGACAGGUGG